CCCGACGAACACGCCAGCCAUCUUAAACAAACGCAACUCGAUCACUCUUUUGAUCUUCAAAAACGUCCAACACAAGGACGAAAGCGCGCGACAACAAAAAUCCGAAAUUUUGGUUUAGCACUCCAGUUGGCUUAAAAAUUGCCUCUGAGAAGAUGCUCGAUUCGUACCAUACAAGUCAUAUAAGCCGAGAACCUAUCGCGGACUUUAAAUCGGUGCGAGUCAGGAAGAAAUCGCAACAGGAAAAACGAUAGACGGCUAGUCACCGCACAAACCUUAACCGAAAGUAAACCUAGGUAUUGCCCUAAACCCAACGCUCUGGUCUCAAACAUCUCAAGACAUGAUAUCUAAAAGAUACGAGAUCCUAAACCAUAUCUCUCCGUUCGCAUCUCAAUGUUCCCGAAAAUCGUAAAGAUAAUUAAUUUUUUACGAAAAUCACGAACGAACUAACAGAUUGAACGUCUCAUCGGAAUUAAAUAUGAGACGACAACUCAUAUUUACUUCGACCCUACUCAGGAAAACUCAAAAUAAACAUCCAUCAUAUAUAUAAAACCGCGUAAAGCGGUAGGGGAUU
RNAcentral lists this long non-coding RNA (571 nucleotides) under Brassica napus (rape). RNAcentral's name for it is "long non-coding RNA (BNAP_LNC009365)". Lineage: Eukaryota; Viridiplantae; Streptophyta; Magnoliopsida; Brassicales; Brassicaceae. The record is from RNAcentral.